UGGGGAAUAUUGCACAAUGGGCGAAAGCCUGAUGCAGCAACGCCGCGUGAGUGAUGAAGGCCUUCGGGUUGUAAAGCUCUGUCUUCUGGGACGAUAAUGACGGUACCAGAGGAGGAAGCCACGGCUAACUACGUGCCAGCAGCCGCGGUAAUACGUAGGUGGCAAGCGUUGUCCGGAUUUACUGGGCGUACAGGAUGCGUAGGCGGAUACUUAAGUCAGAUGUGAAAAUCCCGGGCUUAACUUGGGAACUGCAUUUGAAACUGGGUAUCUAGAGUGCGGGAGAGGAAAGUGGAAUUCCUAGUGUAGCGGUGAAAUGCGUAGAGAUUAGGAAGAACACCAGUGGCGAAGGCGACUUUCUGGACUGUAACUGACGCUGAGGCGCGAAAGCGUGGGGAGCAAACA
RNAcentral lists this ribosomal RNA (402 nucleotides) under uncultured bacterium. Its description in RNAcentral is "bacterial SSU rRNA". It matches the Rfam family "Bacterial small subunit ribosomal RNA", at positions 355 to 774 of the family's 1533-position model. The record is from RNAcentral.